Long non-coding RNA from Anas platyrhynchos (mallard), 9802 nucleotides. RefSeq lists it as uncharacterized. The record is from RefSeq and is a predicted model, not a curated record. NCBI's taxonomy places the organism in Eukaryota, Metazoa, Chordata, Aves, Anseriformes, Anatidae.
GUGGGGUGGGGGGGUGAGCAUCGCGGAACAAAGGGGCUCUGCUGGCGGCGGGGCUGGAGGGGAGCGCCUGUGUGUGUGUGUGUGUGUCUGUGUGUGUGUGUGUGUCUGUGUGUGUGCGUCUGUGUGUGUGCGUGUCUGUGGCUCUGUCCGUGUGGCUCUGUCCGUGUGGCUCUCUCCGUGCGUGUGUCUCUGCGGGGCCGGGAUCGCCCGGUCCAAGCCCUCCGCCGGCAGCGCCGCGCAGAGCCUCUGGAGUUCGCCGUGUUUCGGAUGGCGUGUGGAUGACGGGAAGCGAAUUCCCCGCCGGGGCCGUGUGGGCUCCCCGCGCCGCGCCGCGCCCCGCCGCUCGCCCGCUGGGAUGCUGCAGGGCCCCGCCGCCGCCGGCCGCACCGAGCUGACAGCACCGCCGCAUCUGCGGGGCAAAAUGGGCUCUACGUGCCCUUAGCUGCAAUAAAUAAAAGGUUUUCUCCGUGUUUUAAUUAAUUAAUUAAUUAAUUAAGGUACAUUCAGUGUCGUCUUCACUGAGAUAGAAUCAAGAUAGCACAAGGUGUUCCUUGUAAUUUACGUUUGUUUCCUUGUAGCAGUAGGACAGAAAACGUGCUAAGGAAGCUCAGAGUAAACGUGUUUCAUUAUACCUGAAGAUAUUCUGACCAAACCUCCCCCUCUGAUAACCUGUCUUGGGCAUAUGUGAAAGAAAUUUGAAACAAAACACAGGAAAAACAAGCAAACAAACAAACAAAACAAACAAACAAAAAAACACAGACGAAAUGGUGAAAUAAGCCAAGUAUAUACUGAAGCCUGAGAAUUAUCUCUUUUCUAUAUUUUAACAGUAUGCAUAGCUUCAGUAUGCAUUAGCUCUUGUGUAAGUUCCCAUGGAAAAGAAAAAAGAACACUGUCAGUGCUCUCAAACUCUGUCAGUAGCCUCUAAGCUGUUCCCAUCAGAAAUAUUUGAACUCAUGGCAUGAAAAGGUUUAAAAAUGUUUGAGUGUAAUUCCUAAUUUAGGAGAACUUAUAAUGGUGAUCAAUCACACACAUCAAACCACAUGAAAUGAAAUAUUGCAUAAAAUAAGGGAUACUUUCUGUAGUUUUACUGCUGUUUCGUUUUUUUUUUUUUAGUCAAAUGUUCAGUACACUGUAUCAUACAAAAUAAUCCGUUCAUUUGAAAUCAGUCAGUCAACAUGUUGGUAUGGAGCUUUCAGUGACUUGGUUAUUCUUCUUUCAUAUGAAAGAUUGGGGGUUUUAAUUUGGUGAUGCAAAAAGACAAUCCCAUGGCAAUUAAUAAAGGCCAAUUUAUGGUCUUGUCAGCACUGAGACAGUAAUACAGGGCUUCCUUUUCUGACAAAUAAUCAGGAGAGGUUUCCUUUUCAGCGACAGAAUCUUUUUGAAACCAAUGGUUGCUCUUAUUUUGCUCAGCUUUAUUAAGUUGACUGGUUUUACAGAAAGCAGAUAGUGUUUUCAGUUGCUCUUUCUAUGCAGUUUUUAUAGAAUAGGAUUCUUCACUUCCAACAAAGGUGUUUACCCCCCUGUACAGAUGAGAAGGGGUUCCCUUAAAUAAUCACUUUGUUUCUUGUUGUAAUACUAAUGUUGCUUCAUAGACUUACCACAUUUCAUCAGGAAAAAUGAGAAGGGAAAAAACAAAACAAAACAAAACCACCAAUACAACCAAACAACAAAACGAAAUGAAAACCAAACAAAACAACAACAACAAAACACUUAGACAGUGAAUAUCAUGUGGUGUUGCAACACUAUGAUUGUUUUAAAUCAGAGGUUUGAAACCCGUCCAGGUUGAAACUCUUUCCUAAUACCACUGACUAUUUGGAAAGAUGAUCACCUCACCUUAUUUUUUUGUGGACAAUCAGAGAAGCCUCUUUUAGAAAUCCUCCUUAGGAAAAGACAAAGACUGUGUAGGUAAGUGUAUUCUAUUUCCUCUUUAUUCUAGCAGAAAGUCCAUUAAAAUACUACUGACAAGUGCUAAACAGGAAGUGCAUACUUUCACAGCUUGUGCCUUGAAUUUAGUGCCUUGAAACUGUCUUCAGUAUUCAUUCCAUUUUUUGUAUGAAGAAACUAAAUUCUGGUACAUAAAGUGUACGUAAAUAAUCAGCUCUUCUGAAGUCAAGAUCAGGAAACUGUGACAUCACAAUUGGCUUUGAAGAGAUUGGUGUGAUGUGACAGGGAGGAUUAUGACUUCAAGUAGGAAUUAAGUAGCAGGGACUCAAAUGAGACAAAAAUCCUAUUUUGAAGCAAAGAAAAUAAAUCCUCGUAAUUGUAGGAAAAGAAGAAAAUGGUACUGAAGGGAAUGUAACAAUGGACUCUUGUAUGAGCUGUUUCUUAAUUCUUUACAAAGUCAAGAGGCACAAAGAACUCUCUAAGGAUUAAAGAAGAUAACAGUUAUGAAGCAUAAGUUUAUAUUAGCACAUUUAUUUUUUCUUUAACAUUUUUAGAAGCAUUUAGAAUAUUUGAUAUGAAUUUGCUUUACAGUCUGAAUCACAUACACCUCUUAUUCGUAAUUCCUUUAGUAUUAAGCUAGUAGUCUUUCCUUUUGAGAAAAGAAGAGUGCAAAUAUUUAAUGUCACCUUUUAAGUCUCAACUUCAAGUUUCAGCAUGAACUUUGACUUUUUUUCCUUUCUCUCUAGUCUAGAAGUUAAUUUCACAAUUCUUUUAUACAUAUGCUAAGAUUUUUUGUAUAUUCAAUACAAAACACAGAAAAUCAUGCAAAGAUAACUGUGUUCUCAGUUUAUGCUACAUUUCCCCUCUAGGAUAAGUAUAGAUAGUAUAGAUAAAAGGCAUGUUUAUAUACUAUUUGGUCAAUAAAAGCUGAGUUUUUUUCCUGAUUUAUAGGAACCACAGUUACUCAUUAAUAUUCAAAAUACAGAUAUUUCUUCCAAGAUACACUCUGGUUAUUACUAAAAGAAAAUUCUACUGAUCUUCCUUCUUUACUUCAUGGUUGAUAUAAGGUCUAAGUUCUCAUUCUGAACAAAAGAGGCCUGGGCUUUUGGUGUUUAUUUCUUUUGAUUUCUUUGGUAUUUUUUUUUGUUUGUUUGUUUGUUUUAGUUGGUUUUGUUUUGUUUAUUUGUUUGUUUGUUUAUUCAAUUAAGGAACAUUCCUGAGACACCUAUGUAGAGAAACACUGAUAUAAUGAUAGCUAGAGUGCUGAUCACUUAGUCCCACUGAAAAAAUGGAUCACAAGAUUAAGAAUAUCUUUCUCAAGCAGAAGAAAAUAAUUCAUUUUAAAAUAGAAGUAAAAAAAUGCUUUGGUCAAACAUCAAAUUAAUAUGAAUAUAUAUAGUGAAAACUCUCUAUAUAUAGUUUCACUGCCUUCAUGGAUUUGUCUCAUCUAAAUCUAGCUGGUUUUUGUACUGUGGGCUAGACAGGCAGCUUUUGAUAUGGGCAUAAUUUUUCAAAGAAAAAAGCCAUCUUGCUAGUAGUUUGCUAAAAUAGGCACAGGUCACUCACAUGCACAAGUGCAUGUGCUCAUUGUCCUUCUUUCUAUAUGGAGAAAUGGGUUGCCGUGGACCUGAAAAGUUACUUCUCACUGGCCAAGUGUUAAGAUGUACUUUGGGGAAGCAUAGAAAAUUUCUUUUGAAUUCCAAAGUCAAGCUGAGAGUUAGUAUAGACAUUAUUUAAAAAAAAAAAAAAAAAAAAAAAAAAAAGCUCUCUAGAAAAGAUUUUUAAUGCAUUUAUUACAGACUUCUUGGAUGGAAGAGAAAGGCAGAGCUAUCGUCAUUGUGAUUUCUCUUUUGCUUAAGGUGAAGUUAAGUGAGUACUUAGAAUGAUCUCAAGACCUUACAGAUUUCAGAAGCGUCUGACUUGAUCUCAAAGAUUUUUGCUUAAUCCUCUCUAAACCAACAAUUAACAAUUUACUGAUUGUAUAUGUUUUUCUUGAUGUGCAGGGCAUUAUAUAAAAAAUUAAUUCUACUAAAGUAUGUAUUAGUCACGUUAAGCACUGAAAAUUCCUCUGGAAAUUAGUGAUAUUUUACCCACUAGUGAAAUGAUAAAUAAACAUUUUUAAACAUUACAUAAAUACAUAUUUCUUAUUUUAAAUUCAUAUUUUGACUCACAUACUAUCUUUAAAGGGAUAGUUGUUUCAGCUAUAUAAUGAGGCCCAAUUUCUACCAAUUUAGCUUAAGGCACCUGUGAUACCUAAUUUACUUUAACUUCGUAAUUUGAUGGUCUGGAGGAACAGCUCCUGAGAGUAAUUUAUCCUAUUUACAGUCUGAGUAUAUGCAGGAGUAUAUCUGAGUGUAUAGUCAAAUCCAUUGACUAUAAAAGGCAGACUUCAAUGACUGUGGUCCUUAACUUAGGAGUCUUAGUAAGGUACUUUAAGUUAGGAUAAGCCUGACAAUGACAGCUACAGCUGGUCUGCUAAGUCAAUGGAAAAAUGAUCCUGGACUUUAAAUGUCCAGUGAAUUAAUGCAGAAAACUAAUUACCCUUUAAGUUCAUAUUUCUGGCUGCAUCGAAGCACUUUGGGAAGUAUUUAAAAAGCAUUUCCUUACCAAGUCUAUUUUGUCCCCAAAGCCACAUUUCUAAUCAUGUGUAGAGUCUCUAGUAUCAUCAGAUGUCUUUCACUUUCCAAGCACCUAAAAAAAAACAAACAAACACAAACAUAAAACAGGUAAGAAGCCCUCUUGGAAGAAUGUACACAUGGAUUAGAAACAUUAUCUCUUCAUACGAAGUGAGAGGUACUGAUUAAGCACUUGGUUCUGACAAAUCUAUGCAUCAGUUCAUAACAAUGUGCUAUUUUAAAGUUGCAAAAUUUGAUAUUUUUAUUUGCCCUGUUUCUGUGCCCAGAUUCUCUAAAAUAUGUCUCAUAAUUUGCUUGAGCCAUUGGGUAAAAUAUAUGUCAGACAUGAUUUAACUUCUAUGCUGUGUCUCAAAGAGCAAUGCAUAUAGAAGUCAUAAUGCAACAGACAGAAAAUAUCUGCAGAAUUCAUAGUCUAUAUUUCAGUUAUAACCAUUCCUUCAUGUGUUCCUUCUAUAUUUAGAAGAAAGCUUGGCUAAACAGAACAAAAUGGUUUGAAACACAAUAAAAUAAAUAAAUAAAUAAAUAAAUAAAUAAAUAAAUAAAUAAGGAGUUUAGUUAAGGUCCUGAAUCAUACCUUGGACCUUAAGUUCUUCAGCUUUAAAGAACUGAAAAAGGUAAAUAAGAAGGGAAUCUCACUCUUGUCAGGAAAGGAGCUUGUCUGGAAAUAUGAUUUUCAAAGACGGUUGCAAAAUUGCACAACAAAACUAAUCCACAGGGAGUAAUACUGAAAGGGACAUGGUCAGUCUGUGGUCCAGUAUAACCAUGCAUAACACAGACUCCACCAGGGUGGCUACAGAGAAUUGGACGACACAAAUGUGCACAAUCUUGGAAAGCCUGAACCUUUCCAAUUUCAAAUCAGGUUACUUCAUUCCUUUAAAAGAGUAUAUAGAUAAAAAAAAAAAAAAAAAAAAAAAAAAAAGACAAGGUAAAAUGUUAGUUUACAAUUCAGUAGCUUCCAGAUUCAUAUUCUUCCAGAAUAUGAAGAACUCCACAGAAUAACAUUCAUCCUCUUCUCUUAAGCUCCUUACUUCAGGCUAUCUAAAACCCUAAUAUCCUUAUCUAUCUACUUAUGAAAGUCAUCUGCUCAGCGGAAUUACAAAAUCUUUGCUCAGUGGAAUAAUGAAAUCUUUGCUCAGUUGGGGUGAUAUCUGAUAGAAUAGAUACAUAAUGUUAGCUGAAGAAAAUAAGAAAAGGUUUGUAUCCUUUAUAUUUGGUGCUGCUUUAAUUAACAUGGGCGAUAUAGCUAAAGAUUUUGAAAUUGUGGUGAACUGGUAGAAAAUAUAGAUGAACAAAUCAAAUUGGAUAAAAUGAAUGCUUUUAUUUUUCAGGAGUUCCCAUAUUGAUUUUUCAUACCUAAGUCUUUGUAAUGGACUUUGGCAAUUUUUUGAGAUCUAUAUAUAAAUAAAAAAUAUGAUGCUUUAUAUUAUAAAUAUAUAUAUAUAUGUGUGUAUUUUUCAUUAGCAGACCUUUCUCUGCAGAUAUCUAUUCUAAUAGAUAACAGAUUGUAUGGUAAUAUGAUUUAUCAUCCAAAAUAAAAUAAAAAGUAGUGAUUUUUUUUUUUGACUUCACAGCUUUUGACUUCUUUUUGUUUUGUUUUGUUUUAAUUUUCACUCUAUAACAUACUCAUAGCAUGGCAAUCUUUCAAGAUUUAUACAAAUUUUAUAAUUUUAGAUGCAGUCCUUUUUCUCUGUAUUCCAGGAAAUGUAGGGUUUGGAUGUCAGCCACCUUCCUCUGUUCCUGCAAAAGCUUCACAACGAUCAGUGGCUCCUUGCCUAAUUAGUCCCAUCUCUCUUAUAUUGCAAAUCCUUUCUAAACUGCUUUGUUACUAGAUUGGUCCUGCUAUUUAGUACCUUAUGUAGAGGAUACACAAAGAGGGGUAGUACAGCUUUGUCUGAGAGCAACUGAAUUGUAUUCUACCCAAUUUCAAUAAAUGGUUUCUGUUCUAGCAAAGCUUCCACCAUUUUAAAUCUCAGCAGCUUUACAGGAAUCCUAUAUGAAAGAGAUGAAUAUGUGCAAGAAUAUAGUUAGUAGAAACAAUGUGUCAUUCACUGGCACAAAUGAUUAUAGAACAUUUUUCAGAAGUUAGUAGAUUGAAUAAAGAUAUUAUCUUGCAUUAAAAAUUACUUCCUUUGUCCAUCCAGCUCUUAGCAGAGUGGACACUGGCAUGGAGCUGGUAACUCUUCAAACUUGGGAAUAUCUGGAGAGAUGCCUGAAGGGGCACUUUUUAUGCCAGUAAUUGCUAAUAGCCCCUGUACCACAGUUCAGAGCAGGAAAUAUAAAACUCCUUUCAUGUUAAUGAUUGCUUUAUAAUUGCAUAAACUGCAAUGAGAAAGCAGUCCUUUAUAGAAAGAAACUUCUCCAGCUUAGGAAGGAGAUAAAAUGUUUGUGGCUGUCCACAUGGACAUGUCCACAUGGCUGCAGUGACUGUUGAAUCCAAACUUCCAAUAGGAAGAAAGCAUGAAAUAGAAUGUUGAAGAGUCUUUCUACUAAAGUGAAACAUUACCCAGAUGACUGUUCGCACGAACUUAAUUAAAAAAUGGUAAACAUAAAUAAAUAAAUAAAUAAAUAAAGCUAGCCUUUUUUCAUUACGGCUAAGACCAGUUUUCUUCCUGUGUAAAUUAAUGAGGGUGUAAGGCUAAGUUAACAAGUCCUGAGAAAUUUGUGAAUUAGACUAGAUGCUGAGGUAUCCGUACUAACAACCAUAAAAUCAAGAAGUUACAGUUGAAAAUCACAUAAAAUUUAUCAGUCUUUAUGAUUUAUAUGCAUCCAAAAAAUAUUAGUCAUAGAAUCAUAGAAUAUCCCAAGUUGGAAGGGACCCACAAGGAUCAAGACCAACGCCUGCCUCCACACAGGUCUACCCAAAAAUCAGAUUUCAGACUAUAUGACUAAGUGCACAGUCCAAAUGCUUCUUAAAUUCCGACAGGCUUGAUGCUGUGACUAUGUCCCUAGGGAGCCUGUUCCAUUGGCUGACCACCCUCUUGGUGAAGAACCUUUUCUUGUAUUCCAUCCUGAACCUCUGUCAUGUCUUGGCUCCAUUCUCUUGGCUCAUAUUGCUGGUCAACAGAGAAAAUAGAUCGGUGCCUGUCCCCCUGUUUCCCCUUGUGAGGAAGCUAUAGACCAUGAUGAACCCUCCGCCUCCUCUUUUCCAGGCUGAACAAACCAAAUGACCUGAGCUGUUUCACUUAUGUCUUCCACUUUACCCACUUCGGCAUCUUUGUAGCUCUUUGGACACUCUCCAAUAGUUUCAUGUCCUUUUUGUACUGCAGUGCCCAAAACUGCACACAGUAGUCAAGGUGAGGUUGCACCAAUGCAGAGUAGACACAGAGACAAACUAGACUUACUCAUUAUUUAACUUCUUCAGAAAGUUAAACAAAUGUUUUCUUGAUAGAAGAAAAAAUGUUCACCUCAGUGAUAAUUUUCAGCAUAAAUUAUUCUGUCACAAAUUAUGCAGCUAAGACAACAGAGGGCUUGCAAAAAAUUAUUGUCAUCCAAGCUAAAAGUAUGUUUCAAUAAUAUCCUUCUUGCUUCAUAAGGAGACUGUACUUUUGUUUACCAAUUAAGAACAUUAUUUUGUUGUUCAUAAAUCAAUAGCAAGAAAAUAUCUAACUUGAAUUACAACUUGAAGCAAGGAAAAAAAUCAUCACAAUAUUAGAUCUUUAGUUUCCUUCUAGUAGUGUAUGUAGCAUUACACAGUCAUUGGAAAGAACUGCUAUGCAAUAUAACAUAAAACAACCUCAAGACCAUAGCAAUUAUAGUCUAGAUAUUUGAUGUACACCAUAUGAAUUAAAAAGAAAUACAAACAAAAAAAAACAAAACCAAAAAACCACACUGUUAAAUCUAAUUCACAUUACGGUAAUAGAAAGCAGAAGGAUGAAACACUAGGCAGCAGGAAUAUUUAUCUGGAGAGAUCUUAUAGAAGCCUUUCAGUACUUCCAGAAAGAUGGUGAAGGACUCUUUGCCAGACAGUGUAGCAAUAAGACAAGGGGUAAUUGUUUUAAACCAAAAGAGGGGAGGUUUAGAUAUUAGGAGGUAAUUCUUCCCUCAGAGGGUGGUGAGACACUGGAACAAGUUGUCCAGAGAAGCUGUGGAUGCCUCAUUCCUGGAAAUGUUUAAGGCCAGGUUGGGUGGGUCUUUGAGCAACCUGGUCUAGUGGAGGGUGUCCCUGCCCAUGGUAGGGUUGGAAUUAAAUGAUCCUUAAGGUACUUUUUAACACAAACUAUUCUCUGAUUCUCUGCAUCUGUAAAUAGAGCUCUGUUAAAAGAAACAACAGGAAGUAAUUUUUAUAGCUCAAGGUUCCAGAAUCAGUGCCAUGGCUUAAAGUCUGUUUGUUGCUUCUUUCCUUCUUCUCUCUUUGCCUCAGCCUCAGCAAAUCAAUCAUGUAAGUCACAAUUAGUUUGGUCAUCCAAUUUUAUUUGUCAUGCUGAAUGGAAGUGUUGUCUAGAUGGAACAUCAACUUUUCCAUACCCAUGCUGUACCCCUCUAAUUAAUCCCCCAAUUCUAGCAUCUAGAACAGAAUUAGAACAGAAGAUAAUAUAUAUAUAAGAUAACACGGACACCUUUUUUUUUUUUUUGAGUAUUUCUGUGUGCAGCAUAACUGAUGAUGUCUGCUUUCCCUCCUGUCUCUGACAUCUAAGAAAGGGUGAUCUCAUUAGCCUCUUCCAGAAGGAUUAAUAAUAGAGUGUCUUUUCUCCAUCCACUUGCCAGUUCUCAUAAAAUUAUAAAAACUGCUCAUCUUUAGGCUCUUUACCCCUCUGAAAUAGUGUUCCAGAAUUACUGUGAGUUUGACAGACAGACUGACAUGGGAAAUGAUUGCAUUCACUCAAUUACUUAGAAAUUUACUCAAUUACCUAGAAAACCAGGCUACAAAUUGCCACCUCUCCUUAUUUUGACAUGCUAAUUCAGAGAGAUUCUAGCCAACUUACUGUAGAAAAAAGAGAUCUGGACAUACACAGAAUAGCAGAAGGGUUGUUCUUGCCUGGUUGCCAUGCCCCUGAUUUGCAACCUAGGAUUAAAAUUAAGAAUGAAAAUCUGUAGUAAAUCCUUCUGCAGUUUUUCCACAGCUACUAACGCGUGCGCGCACACACACACACACACCAAAAACAAAACAAAACAAAACAAAACAGAAAAAAAAAAGUAGCCAUCUGAUCAAGGUACUACUAACCAGAGCUGUCAGCAGCUGCUCUGGAACAAUAGCUCUUUGGUGGCAUAUCCUGUUUAGACCCUAUUCAGUGUCUAACACGUUUUAGCCUGUGGGGAUCUCAGGAAAAAUAAUACAAAAUAGA